This is a long non-coding RNA of Gymnogyps californianus (California condor), 271 nucleotides long. RefSeq lists it as uncharacterized. Lineage: Eukaryota; Metazoa; Chordata; Aves; Accipitriformes; Cathartidae. The record is from RefSeq and is a predicted model, not a curated record. The transcript has 3 exons.
AAUGUGGUGGUCUGUGGCCUCCUAUUCUCUCGCCCAGAGUGCUUUAUUUGAGCUGGCUGUUGCAAGAAGAAGAUACCUUUCUGAUAUGAAUCUAAACCUCUUAUGACCUUGAGAUUUAGGAACCCUUGUUAUGGAGUAGCCAGAUAACUCUACAUCUCAUGUAUGAAAUUUGGAUGGUCUUUUAAAAGAUUUUGGGCUAAAUACCGGAUUUGAGAAACUACAAGCACAGUCUUCAGGUUAUUUGAUAAUGCAGCUGCUGGUAUUUGCUCCC